CACGUAGGGCGCGAGCGUUGUCCGGAAUUAUUGGGCGUAAAGAGCUCGUAGGCGGCCUGUUGCGUCCGCUGUGAAAUCCCGGGGCUCAACCCCGGAACUGCAUUCGAUACUGCUGAGCUAGAGUACUGGAGAGGAGAUUGGAAUUUACGGUGUAGCAGUGAAAUGCGUAGAUAUCGUAAGGAAGACCAGUGGCGAAGGCGGAUCUCUGGACAGUUACUGACACUGAGGCACGAAGGCCAGGGGAGCAAACGGG
RNAcentral lists this ribosomal RNA (253 nucleotides) under uncultured bacterium. Its description in RNAcentral is "partial 16S ribosomal RNA". It matches the Rfam family "Bacterial small subunit ribosomal RNA", at positions 524 to 776 of the family's 1533-position model. The record is from RNAcentral.